Molecule: ribosomal RNA, 1020 nt
Filed under: Cronobacter sakazakii
Lineage: Bacteria; Pseudomonadati; Pseudomonadota; Gammaproteobacteria; Enterobacterales; Enterobacteriaceae
Description: partial 23S ribosomal RNA
Rfam family: Bacterial large subunit ribosomal RNA
Source: RNAcentral
GGGGGGACCAUCCUCCAAGGCUAAAUACUCCUGACUGACCGAUAGUGAACCAGUACCGUGAGGGAAAGGCGAAAAGAACCCCGGCGAGGGGAGUGAAACAGAACCUGAAACCGUGUACGUACAAGCAGUGGGAGCCUUCGUAAGAGGGUGACUGCGUACCUUUUGUAUAAUGGGUCAGCGACUUAUAUUCUGUAGCAAGGUUAACCGUAUAGGGGAGCCGAAGGGAAACCGAGUCUUAACCGGGCGUUAAGUUGCAGGGUAUAGACCCGAAACCCGGUGAUCUAGCCAUGGGCAGGUUGAAGGUUGGGUAACACUAACUGGAGGACCGAACCGACUAAUGUUGAAAAAUUAGCGGAUGACCUGUGGCUGGGGGUGAAAGGCCAAUCAAACCGGGAGAUAGCUGGUUCUCCCCGAAAGCUAUUUAGGUAGCGCCUCGUGAACUCAUCUCCGGGGGUAGAGCACUGUUUCGGCUAGGGGGCCAUCCCGGCUUACCAACCCGAUGCAAACUGCGAAUACCGGAGAAUGUUAUCACGGGAGACACACGGCGGGUGCUAACGUCCGUCGUGAAGAGGGAAACAACCCAGACCGCCAGCUAAGGUCCCAAAGUCAUGGUUAAGUGGGAAACGAUGUGGGAAGGCCCAGACAGCCAGGAUGUUGGCUUAGAAGCAGCCAUCAUUUAAAGAAAGCGUAAUAGCUCACUGGUCGAGUCGGCCUGCGCGGAAGAUGUAACGGGGCUAAACCAUGCACCGAAGCUGCGGCAGCGACACUAUGUGUUGUUGGGUAGGGGAGCGUUCUGUAAGCCUGUGAAGGUGUGCUGUGAGGCAUGCUGGAGGUAUCAGAAGUGCGAAUGCUGACAUAAGUAACGAUAAAGCGGGUGAAAAGCCCGCUCGCCGGAAGACCAAGGGUUCCUGUCCAACGUUAAUCGGGGCAGGGUGAGUCGACCCCUAAGGCGAGGCCGAAAGGCGUAGUCGAUGGGAAACAGGUUAAUAUUCCUGUACUUGGUGUUACUGCGAAGGGGGG